RNAcentral lists this long non-coding RNA (218 nucleotides) under Gossypium barbadense (sea-island cotton). RNAcentral's name for it is "long non-coding RNA (GBAR_LNC003234)". Lineage: Eukaryota; Viridiplantae; Streptophyta; Magnoliopsida; Malvales; Malvaceae. The record is from RNAcentral.
GCACCCUAAGUGCCAAUAUCAUGUCCCGAAGCCAAAUCAAUGAAGCUCACACCCGAAGUGCCGAUAUCAUAGCCCAAAGCCAAAUCAAUGUAACUCGCACCUAAAGUGCCAAUAUCAUGGCCUGAAGCCAAAUCAAUGUAACUCGCACCCGAAGUGCCAAUAUCAUGGCCCGAAGCCAAAUCAAUGAAUUCCCUAAUAACAUGUCACUAGUAUCCUAA